This 492-nucleotide ribosomal RNA is filed under the name uncultured bacterium. Its description in RNAcentral is "partial 16S ribosomal RNA". It matches the Rfam family "Bacterial small subunit ribosomal RNA", at positions 29 to 507 of the family's 1533-position model. The record is from RNAcentral.
AGUGAACGCUGGCGGUAGGCCUAACACAUGCAAGUCGAACGGCAGCACAGUAAGAGCUUGCUCUUACGGGUGGCGAGUGGCGGACGGGUGAGGAAUACAUCGGAAUCUACUUUUUCGUGGGGGAUAACGUAGGGAAACUUACGCUAAUACCGCAUACGACCUACGGGUGAAAGCAGGGGAUCUUCGGACCUUGCGCGAUUGAAUGAGCCGAUGUCGGAUUAGCUAGUUGGCGGGGUAAAGGCCCACCAAGGCGACGAUCCGUAGCUGGUCUGAGAGGAUGAUCAGCCACACUGGAACUUGGGCAAGGUCCAGGCUCCUACGGGAGGCAGCAGUGGGGAAUAUUAGACAAUGGGCGGAAGCCUGAUCCAGCCAUACCGCGUGGGUGAAGGAGGCCUUCGGGUUGUAAAGCCCUUUUUUUGGGAAAGAAAAGCAGCAGGUUAAUACCCCGCUGUUCUGACGGUAACCAAAGAAUAAGCACCGGCUAACUUCGUG